UACGUAGGGGGCAAGCGUUGUCCGGAUUCAUUGGGCGUAAAGAGUGUGUAGGCGGUGUUCCCAGUCUGUUGUGAAAUCUCCCGGCUUAACUGGGAGGGUGCAGCGGAAACUAGAAUGCUAGAGGGUGGGAGAGGUAAGCGGAAUUCCUGGUGUAGCGGUGAAAUGCGUAGAUAUCAGGAGGAACACCUGUGGUGUAGACAGCUUGCUGGACCACUUCUGACGCUGAGACACGAAAGCGUGGGUAGCAAACAGG
This 253-nucleotide ribosomal RNA is filed under the name uncultured bacterium. RNAcentral describes it as "partial 16S ribosomal RNA". It matches the Rfam family "Bacterial small subunit ribosomal RNA", at positions 524 to 776 of the family's 1533-position model. The record is from RNAcentral.